GUCCUCUCAGGGUCACACCUGGAGAGUUCCCAGUAUUCUACCAGUCUCGACUACAGGAGGGAGAGUCAGGCAGAGGCCUACCCAUUCCAUUCCUAGCUUGGGCAGUGGCUAGCGAGUGGAAGGCCAUCUGCUACAAGU
This 138-nucleotide small nucleolar RNA is filed under the name Ornithorhynchus anatinus (platypus). The record is from RNAcentral. Lineage: Eukaryota; Metazoa; Chordata; Mammalia; Monotremata; Ornithorhynchidae.